AAGUCGUAACAAGGUUUCCGUAGGUGAACCUGCGGAAGGAUCAUUACAACGUAUCCACGUAUAAACAAACGCGAACAGUCCUUUGGACGCGUAAACCAGAACAAGCUGGCAUGAAGUUAACCGGUCGAACUGCUAAUUAAUGCGCUUCGUAGAUGGAGCUUUGCUUGGAGCCCAAAGAGUAUUUCCCACCAUCGGGAAGCCUACUUAUUGUACCUUUUCAUUAACCCUUUGUAAAAUUUGAACUGAACUUGGUAAACACUGCGGCUUUCCUCGCUGGCUUCGGUCACGGAAGGCACUAACGCGGUGCUUUUACUCUAUAUUACGAAAUAAGAACAACUCUUAACAACGGAUAUCUUGGUUCUCGUAACGAUGAAAAACGCAGC
This 383-nucleotide unclassified non-coding RNA is filed under the name fungal sp. RNAcentral describes it as "partial internal transcribed spacer region". The stretch from base 1 to 46 matches the Rfam family "Eukaryotic small subunit ribosomal RNA", at positions 1786 to 1831 of the family's 1831-position model. The record is from RNAcentral. Lineage: Eukaryota; Fungi.